This 497-nucleotide ribosomal RNA is filed under the name uncultured bacterium. RNAcentral describes it as "partial 16S ribosomal RNA". It matches the Rfam family "Bacterial small subunit ribosomal RNA", at positions 28 to 507 of the family's 1533-position model. The record is from RNAcentral.
GAUGAACGCUGGCGGCGUGCCUAAUACAUGCAAGUCGAACGAAAAGACUCGAGGUUUGUGGCUUACUCGAGUGCCGCGCGGGUGAGUGUCACACGGGUGUAAUCUACCUAACUUAGUGAGAUACCUUGGGGACACGGGCUCAAAUCCCGGAGAAUCUCUUGAACCGCUUGGUUCUGUAGUGAAAGACGGUUUUGCGGUCACUUAUACAUGGAUCCGCUCUGCUUGAGCGAGUUGGUGAGGUAACGGCUUACAAAGGUAGCGAUGCGUAGCCGAGAUGAGGGGGUGAUCGGGCACACUGGGACUGGGACACGGUCCAGACUCCGACGUGAGGCAGAAGUAGGGAAUGUUGGGAGAUGGGCGGAAGACUGAAGGAGCAACGCAGCGUGGGUGAUGAAGGUCUUCGGAUCGUAUAACGCUGUUAUUAGUGAAGACCACAUGUGUAAGGAACUAUGCACGUCGUGACGGUACCUAAUCAGAAAGCAACGGCUAACUACGUG